UAUGCUCAGACACUGCACCAGAUGUUUGUUGUAAAUGCUGGCGGUGGUUUCAAGCUACUAUGGAAUUCAGUGAAAGGUUUUCUUGACCCUAAAACGGUCUCAAAGAUACAUGUUUUGGGAACAAAAUUCCAAAGCAAACUUCUUGAAGUAAUAGAUGGAAGCCAACUUCCUGAAUUUUUGGGUGGAACAUGCACAUGUGCGGGUCAGGGAGGAUGCCUCAAGUCUAACAAAGGUCCAUGGAAUGACCCUAACAUUAUGAAGGUUGCACAUAACAAAGAAGCAAAGUUUGUAAGGCAUACAAGACGCUUAUCUGAGAUCGAGCAACGAAGGGGUUCAUUUGCUAGGUUACAUCUUUUGAAGGGUAGAAACAGUGACACGUCAACAGCUGAGUCAGGAUCAGAUGUUGAUGAUCUAGGUUCUCCUAUGAUGAGAAGCACAUUGGGGUGCAGUCGACUAGCUCCAGUUCGUGAAGAAAUGCAGAUGAGAGCACGAGAGUCUGCGGCUUAUUACAGUUGCGAUGAUCACUUUGUGGUGGUGGACAAAACAGUUGAUUAUGGCAGAGGAGGAUCAAUGCCAGAUAAACGCAGUGCCCCACAAGUAAGAGUACAAGCCCAGCCUUCAGGCACACAAAACACUCCAGGCUCUUCAAGAAACAGUCGUGCUAUACUAGUACCCAAAGAGAUUCCGGAGGAAGGGAAAUUCUAUCGUUUUCUCAGAUUACUGCUGGUUCUGGUUGUUAGGGUUUUUACCUUCUUACGCACAGUAUGCAGUCAGCCAGAGAUAACGAUGGUCAACAACCCACUACCUCCAGCUCCUGAGUUUGAACCCAUCUCUGGUGAUCAUCCAGCAGUUGAAGCGUUCAGUGUGGACCUUGUCAGUCCUGUCAUUGAGCGCCUUCAGAAGCUCGAGGGUCGGGUUGAUGAGCUCGGCAGCAAGCCCCCAGAGAUUCCCCUGGAGAAAGAACGCUCCCUCUUGGAUUCAUGGGAUAGGAUCAAAUGUAUCGAAUCUGACCUCGAAAGGACGAAGAAAGUUCUGCAGGCUACUGUGAUGAAGCAACUAGAAAUUGCAGACUCAAUAGACGAAGUUAUCUUGUCAAAGCUGCACAGGCGAAGAUUUUGUGCGUAA
This 1125-nucleotide ribosomal RNA is filed under the name Triticum aestivum (bread wheat). RNAcentral's name for it is "partial small subunit ribosomal RNA". The record is from RNAcentral. Lineage: Eukaryota; Viridiplantae; Streptophyta; Magnoliopsida; Poales; Poaceae.